GAACUGCGAUAAGUAAUGUGAAUUGCAGAAUUCAGUGAAUCAUCGAGUCUUUGAACGCACAUGGCGCUCCUUGGUAUUCCUUGGAGCAUGCCUGUUUGAGUAUCAUGAAAUCUUCAAAGUAAAUCUUUUGUUAACUCAAUUGGUUUCUACUUUGGUAUUGGAGGUCUUUGCAGCUUCACACCUGCUCCUCUUUGUUCAUUAGCUGGAUCUCAGUGUUAUGCUUGGUUCCACUCGGCGUGAUAAGUUAUCUAUCGCUGAGGACACUGUAAAAGGUGGCCAAGGUAAAUGCAGAUGAACCGCUUCUAAUAGUCCAUUGACUUGGACAAUACUUUUAUGAUCUGAUCUCAAAUCAGGUAGGACUACCCGCUGAACUUAAGC
Molecule: unclassified non-coding RNA, 378 nt
Filed under: plant metagenome
Description: partial contains 5.8S ribosomal RNA, internal transcribed spacer 2, and large subunit ribosomal RNA
Rfam family: 5.8S ribosomal RNA (bases 1-105)
Source: RNAcentral